GAUGAACGCUGGCGGCGUGCCUAAUACAUGCAAGUCGAGCGAACGGACGAGAAGCUUGCUUCUCUGAUGUUAGCGGCGGACGGGUGAGUAACACGUGGAUAACCUACCUAUAAGACUGGGAUAACUUCGGGAAACCGGAGCUAAUACCGGAUAAUAUUUUGAACCGCAUGGUUCAAAAGUGAAAGACGGUCUUGCUGUCACUUAUAGAUGGAUCCGCGCUGCAUUAGCUAGUUGGUAAGGUAACGGCUUACCAAGGCAACGAUGCAUAGCCGACCUGAGAGGGUGAUCGGCCACACUGGAACUGAGACACGGUCCAGACUUCUACGGGAGGCAGCAGUAGGGAAUCUUCCGCAAUGGGCGAAAGCCUGACGGAGCAACGCCGCGUGAGUGAUGAAGGUCUUCGGAUCGUAAAACUCUGUUAUUAGGGAAGAACAUAUGUGUAAGUAACUAUGCACAUCUUGACGGUACCUAAUCAGAAAGCCACGGCUAACUACGUG
Molecule: ribosomal RNA, 497 nt
Filed under: uncultured bacterium
Lineage: Bacteria
Description: partial 16S ribosomal RNA
Rfam family: Bacterial small subunit ribosomal RNA
Source: RNAcentral